This 231-nucleotide ribosomal RNA is filed under the name uncultured bacterium. Its description in RNAcentral is "partial 16S ribosomal RNA". It matches the Rfam family "Bacterial small subunit ribosomal RNA", at positions 111 to 334 of the family's 1533-position model. The record is from RNAcentral.
UAACACAUGGGUACCUGCCUUUCAGUGAGGAAUACCGGCGAGAAAUCGCCGACAAGACCGCAUAGGCUUCCUUCGGUAGCCCGAGGGAAGCAAAGUUACUUCGCGAGAGGUGACGCUGGAAGAGGGGCCUGUGGCCGAUUAGCUAGUUGGGGGGGUAACGGCCUCCCAAGGCGACGAUCGGUAGCUGGUCUGAGAGGACGAUCAGCCACACUGGGAUUGAGAACGGCCCAG